UCCGGUUUGUCACCGGCAGUCUCGCAUGAGUCCCCAACUAAAUGCUGGCAACAUGCGACGGGGGUUGCGCUCGUUGCGGGACUUAACCCAACAUCUCACGACACGAGCUGACGACAGCCAUGCACCACCUGUGCAGGGCCCUUGCGGACACCGCAUCUCUGCGGCUUUUCCCUGCAUGUCAAGGCCAGGUAAGGUUCUUCGCGUUGCAUCGAAUUAAACCACAUACUCCACCGCUUGUGCGGGCCCCCGUCAAUUCCUUUGAGUUUCAGUCUUGCGACCGUACUCCCCAGGCGGGGCACUUAAUGCGUUAGCUACGGCACGGAACCCGUUGAUAAGGCCCCACACCUAGUGCCCAACGUUUACGGCGUGGACUAC
This 375-nucleotide unclassified non-coding RNA is filed under the name uncultured bacterium. RNAcentral's name for it is "contains 16S-23S intergenic spacer region". The record is from RNAcentral.